AGAGUUUGAUCAUGGCUCAGAGUGAACGCUGGCGGCGUGCCUAACACAUGCAAGUCGAACGAGAACGGGUUACAGUUUACUGUAACUGUCAGCUAAGUGGCGCACGGGUGAGUAAUAUAUAGUUAACCUGCCCCAAAGAAGAGAAUAAUUGUUGGAAACGACUUGUAAUGCUCUAUAUGCCUUUAUCACAUAAGUGAGCAAGGGAAAUAUUUAUAGCUUUGGGAUGGGACUGUACGGUAUCAGUUUGUUGGUGAGGUAAUGGCUCACCAAGACUAUGACGCCUAACUGGUUUGAGAGGAUGAUCAGUCACACUGGAACUGAGACACGGUCCAGACUCCUACGGGAGGCAGCAGUGGGGAAUAUUGCACAAUGGACGAAAGUCUGAUGCAGCAACGCCGCGUGGAGGAUGACACAUUUCGGUGCGUAAACUCCUUUUAUUAGGGAAGAUAAUGACGGUACCUAAUGAAUAAGCACCGGCUAACUCCGUGCCAGCAGCCGCGGUAAUACGGGGGGUGCAAGCGUUACUCGGAAUCACUGGGCGUAAAGAGCAUGUAGGCUGGUUUGUAAGUUGGAAGUGAAAUCCUAUGGCUUAACCAUAGAACUGCUUCCAAAACUGCAGACCUAGAGUAUGGGAGAGGUAGAUGGAAUUUCUGGUGUAGGGGUAAAAUCCGUAGAGAUCAGAAGGAAUACCGAUUGCGAAGGCGAUCUACUGGAACAUUACUGACGCUGAGAUGCGAAAGCGUGGGGAGCAAACAGGAUUAGAUACCCUGGUAGUCCACGCCCUAAACGAUGCACACUAGUUGUUGCUAUGCUAGACAUAGCAGUAAUGCAGUUAACACAGUAAGUGUGCCGCCUGGGGAGUACGGUCGCAAGAUUAAAACUCAAAUGAAUUGACGG
RNAcentral lists this ribosomal RNA (897 nucleotides) under uncultured bacterium. RNAcentral's name for it is "bacterial SSU rRNA". It matches the Rfam family "Bacterial small subunit ribosomal RNA", at positions 8 to 916 of the family's 1533-position model. The record is from RNAcentral.